CCUACGGGUGGCAGCAGUGGGGAAUAUUGCACAAUGGGGGGAACCCUGAUGCAGCGACGCCGCGUGAGUGAAGAAGUAUUUCGGUAUGUAAAGCUCUAUCAGCAGGGAAGAAAAUGACGGUACCUGACUAAGAAGCCCCGGCUAACUACGUGCCAGCAGCCGCGGUAAUACGGAGGGGGCAAGCGUUAUCCGGAUUUACUGGGUGUAAAGGGAGCGCAGGCGGCUGUGCAAGUCUGGAGUGAAAGGCGGGGGCCCAACCCCCGGACUGCUCUGGAAACUGGAAAGCUAGAGUGCAGGAGAGGUAAGCAGAAUUCCUGGUGUAGCGGUGAAAUGCGUAGAUAUUAGGAGGAACACCAGUGGCGAAGGCGGCCUGCUGGACUGUAACUGACGUUGAGGCUCGAAAGCGUGGGGAGCAAACAGGAUUAGAUACCCGUGUAGUC
Molecule: ribosomal RNA, 440 nt
Filed under: uncultured bacterium
Lineage: Bacteria
Description: partial 16S ribosomal RNA
Rfam family: Bacterial small subunit ribosomal RNA
Source: RNAcentral